CAGGAAAGAUUCAAGUUUAUGUCUGAGAAUUAGAUAGGUCACCACACCAGACUGUCUUCUGCUUAUGAUUGACAUGUGGCUGCAGAUUCCUGAAAAGUUUUUCACAAAACAAGUCAUUUUCGUGCCUUUGAACUAAAUCAGAAUUACCUCCAUGAAUGUCCAGGCAACGGUGUUAAUAAGCGACCCAGACAGAUCUGUCCUUAUAUGAUUGUAGCUUUUCAGGACAGGGACCCUAAAAAGAUGGCAGCACCUGCUUACAGAAGCACAUUUGAACUCAAUAAAAAUG
Nannospalax galili (Upper Galilee mountains blind mole rat) is the source of this 286-nucleotide long non-coding RNA. RefSeq lists it as uncharacterized. The transcript has 3 exons. The record is from RefSeq and is a predicted model, not a curated record. Lineage: Eukaryota; Metazoa; Chordata; Mammalia; Rodentia; Spalacidae.